RNAcentral lists this transfer RNA (74 nucleotides) under Bdellovibrionales bacterium. Its description in RNAcentral is "tRNA-Cys". It matches the Rfam family "tRNA". From Rfam's summary of the family: Transfer RNA (tRNA) molecules are approximately 80 nucleotides in length. Their secondary structure includes four short double-helical elements and three loops (D, anti-codon, and T loops). Further hydrogen bonds mediate the characteristic L-shaped molecular structure. tRNAs have two regions of fundamental functional importance: the anti-codon, which is responsible for specific mRNA codon recognition, and the 3' end, to which the tRNAs corresponding amino acid is attached (by aminoacyl-tRNA synthetases). tRNAs cope with the degeneracy of the genetic code in two manners: having more than one tRNA (with a specific anti-codon) for a particular amino acid; and 'wobble' base-pairing, i.e. permitting non-standard base-pairing at the 3rd anti-codon position. Lineage: Bacteria; Pseudomonadati; Bdellovibrionota; Bdellovibrionia; Bdellovibrionales. The record is from RNAcentral.
GGUGAUGUGGCCGAGGGGUUAGGCAGCGGAUUGCAAAUCCGUGUACGUCGGUUCAAAUCCGGCCAUCACCUCCA